UACGGAGGGUGCAAGCGUUAUCCGGAAUCACUGGGUUUAAAGGGUGCUUAGGCUGCUGCAUAAGUCAGGGGUGAAAGUUUGUCGCUUAACGAUAGAAUUGCCUUUGAUACUGUGCGGCUUGAAAUUAGGUGAGGUUGGCGGAAUGUGACAUGUAGCGGUGAAAUGCGUAGAUAUGUCAUAGAACACCGAUUGCGAAGGCAGCUGGCUAACCUAUAUUUGACGCUGAGGCACGAAAGCGUGGGGAGCGAACAGG
This 253-nucleotide ribosomal RNA is filed under the name uncultured bacterium. Its description in RNAcentral is "partial 16S ribosomal RNA". It matches the Rfam family "Bacterial small subunit ribosomal RNA", at positions 524 to 776 of the family's 1533-position model. The record is from RNAcentral.